UAAUACGUAGGGUGCGAGCGUUGUCCGGAAUUACUGGGCGUAAAGAGCUCGUAGGUGGUUUGUUGCGUCGUCUGUGAAAUUCCGGGGCUUAACUUCGGGGUGGCAGGCGAUACGGGCAUAACUAGAGUGCUGUAGGGGAGACUGGAAUUCCUGGUGUAGCGGUGGAAUGCGCAGAUAUCAGGAGGAACGCCGAUGGCGAAGGCAGGUCUCUGGGCAGUAACUGACGCUGAGGAGCGAAAGCAUGGGGAGCGAACAGGAUUAGAUACCCUGGUAGUCCAUGCUGUAAACGGUGGGCGUUAGGUGUGGGGACCGGUUUGGUUUCUGUGCCGUAGCUAACGCAUUAAGCGCCCCGCCUGGGGAGUACGGCCGCAAGGCUA
RNAcentral lists this ribosomal RNA (377 nucleotides) under uncultured bacterium. RNAcentral's name for it is "bacterial SSU rRNA". It matches the Rfam family "Bacterial small subunit ribosomal RNA", at positions 521 to 896 of the family's 1533-position model. The record is from RNAcentral.